GGGCCGCAACUGACGCUGAGGAGCGAAAGCAUGGGGAGCGAACAGGAUUAGAUACCCUGGUAGUCCAUGCCGUAAACGUUGGGCACUAGGUGUGGGACUCAUUCCACGAGUUCCGUGCCGCAGCUAACGCAUUAAGUGCCCCGCCUGGGGAGUACGGCCGCAAGGCUAAAACUCAAAGGAAUUGACGGGGGCCCGCACAAGCGGCGGAGCAUGCGGAUUAAUUCGAUGCAACGCGAAGAACCUUACCAAGGCUUGACAUGCACCGGACGCUGCCAGAGAUGGUGGUUCCGCAAGGUCGGUGCACAGGUGGUGCAUGGUUGUCGUCAGCUCGUGUCGUGAGAUGUUGGGUUAAGUCCCGCAACGAGCGCAACCCUUGUCCUAUGUUGCCAGCGGGUUAUGCCGGGGACUCAUGGGAGACUGCCGGGGUCAACUCGGAGGAAGGCGGGGAUGACGUCAAAUCAUCAUGCCCCUUAUGUCUUGGGCUUCACGCAUGCUACAAUGGCCGGUACAGAGGGCUGCGAUACCGUAAGGUGGAGCGAAUCCCAAAAAGCCGGUCUCAGUUCGGAUUGGGGUCUGCAACUCGACCCCAUGAAGUCGGAGUCGCUAGUAAUCGCAGAUCAGCAACGCUGCGGUGAAUACGUUCCCGGGCCUUGUACACACCGCCCGUCAAGUCACGAAAGUUGGUAACACCCGAAGCUCACGGCCCAAC
RNAcentral lists this ribosomal RNA (709 nucleotides) under Isoptericola sp. DBQ_25S. Its description in RNAcentral is "bacterial SSU rRNA". It matches the Rfam family "Bacterial small subunit ribosomal RNA", at positions 731 to 1439 of the family's 1533-position model. The record is from RNAcentral. Lineage: Bacteria; Bacillati; Actinomycetota; Actinomycetes; Micrococcales; Promicromonosporaceae.